AAUGAACGUUGGCGGCGUGGAUUAGGCAUGCAAGUCGCGCGAGAAAUUUCCUUCGGGAGAUGGACAGCGGCGAAAGGGAGAGGAAUAAGUAGAAAUCUGCCCUCGGGACGGGGAUAGCGGCGGGAAACUGCCGGUAAUACCCGAUAACAUCUUCGGAUCAAAUGGUGUGAUUCCGCCUGGGGAUGAGUCUACUUCCUAUUAGCUAGUUGGCGGGGUAAUGGCCCACCAAGGCAACGAUGGGUAGCGGGUGUGAGAGCACGAUCCGCCUCACUGGGACUGAGACACUGCCCAGACACCUACGGGUGGCUGCAGUCGAGAAUCUUCGGCAAUGGGGGAAACCCUGACCGAGCGACGCCGCGUGCGGGAUGAAGGCCCUCGGGUUGUAAACCGCUGUCGUAAGGGAACAAAUCUAUGAGGGUACUCUCUCAUAGUUGAGUGAUCUUAGGAGGAAGGACGGGCUAAGUUCGUG
RNAcentral lists this ribosomal RNA (469 nucleotides) under uncultured organism. RNAcentral's name for it is "bacterial SSU rRNA". It matches the Rfam family "Bacterial small subunit ribosomal RNA", at positions 29 to 507 of the family's 1533-position model. The record is from RNAcentral.